RNAcentral lists this ribosomal RNA (3376 nucleotides) under Arachis duranensis. RNAcentral's name for it is "bacterial LSU rRNA". The stretch from base 482 to 3376 matches the Rfam family "Bacterial large subunit ribosomal RNA". Lineage: Eukaryota; Viridiplantae; Streptophyta; Magnoliopsida; Fabales; Fabaceae. The record is from RNAcentral.
UUUAAGGAGACCAAAAAUUUACCUUUCACAGUAUUGUCUAUGACCUCAGCCUCAGUUGGAUUAAUAUAAUCUUUAUCCUGCUCCUCUAUAUUAUCUCUUUCAUUUUCAUCCAAUUGCUCUUUACCUGUAGCGUAGCUUAAUGUUUAAGAUAGCGGUAGUUACAGAGAGACGCACUAUUUGAUUUUCUUUUUUGGUUUUAAAGAGACAAACUAUAACAGCAACAACGAAUAAAAAUAUAAGCAAUUCAUAACCAUAACUCUAAUAUUAAUAUUACUAUCACUUCCAUGACUACACACUAGCAUUAGCACCUAUAAAUCAAACAAAAUCCACCAAAGACACUAGUUACCACGUAACAAAAGCACCUUCAACCUAUCUACCGGCACAAAUAGACAAAUUCACUAUACUUAGUGAACCAAAACACUUUUCUGAUUUACGACAUCUAAAAAUUAACAACAAAAUCAAACUUAUUUGCAUUGAAUAGUUCAAAGAAACUCAAAAUAAUUGUGGUAAUAUUUUUCUAUUUUAAAUCAAUGACCAAAACAGAGCAUUAACCAAAAUUAAUAUUAAAAACAACACAAAAUCAGAAUAUGUUCAGAUAACUAAUUAUCAAAUACUCAUAGGCAGUGGCUUGGUUAAGGGAAACCACCAGAGCCGUAGCGAAAGAGAGUCUUCAUAGGGCAAUUGUCAUUGCUUAUGGACUUGAACCUAGGGGAUCUAUCUAUGACCAGGAUGAAGCUUGGGUGAAACUAAGUGGAGGUCCGAACCGACUGAUGUUGAAGAAUCAGCGGAUGAGUUAUGGUUAGGGGUGAAAUGCCACUCGAACCCAGAGCUAGAUGGUUCUCCCAGAAAUGCAUUGAGGUGCAGCAGUUGAUUGGACAUCUAAGGGGUAAAGCACUGUUUUGGUGCGGGCCGUGAGAGCGGUACCAAAUCGAGACAAACUCUGAAUACUAGAUAUGACCUUAAAAUAACAAAGGUCAAGGUCGGCCAGUGAGACAAUGGGGGAUAAGCUUCAUCAUCGAGAGGGAAACAGCCCGGAUCAUAAGCUAAGGCCCCUAAAUGACUGCUCAGUGAUAAAGGAGGUAGGGGUGCAACGACAGCCAGAAAGUUUGCCUAGAAGCAGCCACCCUUGAAAGAGUACGUAAUAGCUCACUGAUCGGCGCUCCUGUGCCGAAGAUGAACAGAGCUAAGCGAUUUGCCGAAGCUAUGGGAUGUAUAAAUGAAUCAGUAGGGGAGCGUUCCACCUUAGAGGAAAGGACCCGCGCGAGCAGCGGUGGGCGAAGUGAAAGUGAGAAUUUCUACUUGAUUAACACAAACGUUGGUGAGAAUCCAAUGCCUCAAAAUCCUAAGGGUUCAUCCGCAAGGUUCAUCCAUGGAGUGUGAGUCAGGGACUAAGAUUAGGCCGAAAGGCGUAGUCAAUGGACAACAGGUGAAUAUUUCUAUACUACCACUUGUUGGUUUCGAGGGAUGGAAGAGGCUUGGUUUGCCGAAAGAUGGUUAUCGGUUCAAGGACGCAAGGUGCCCCUGCUUUUUAGGGUAAGAAGGGGUAGAGAAAAUGCCUCAAGCCAAUGUUCGAGUACCAGGCGCUACGGCGCUAAAGUAACCCAUGCCAUACUCCCAGGAAAUGCUCGAACGACCUUUAACAAAAGGGUACCUGUACCCGAAACCGACACCAGUGGGUAGGUAGAGAAUACCUAGGGGCGCGAGACAACUCUCUCUAAAGAACUCGGUAAAAUAGCCCUGUAACUUUGGGAGAAGGGAUGCCCCCUCACAAAGGGGGUCGCUGUGGCCAGGCCCGAGCGACUGUUUAUAAAAAACACAGGUCUCCGAAAAGUCGUAAGACUAUGUAUGGGGGCUGACGCCUGCCCGGUGUCAGAAGGUCGAGGAAGUUGGUGACAUGAUGACAGGGGAGUCGGCGACUGAAGCCCCGAUGAACGACAUGUCUGUGAAGAUGCGGACUACCUCCACCUGUAAUAGCCCAUCCGCUAGCACGAUAUUGUCUGCUUUGGCACACAGGGCCUCACGGUUUUGCCUUUGACGAUAGGGAUGAUAGCCAAAGCCCCCCACACUCACUCAUCAAAAUACGUCAUGCUAGAGAGAGGUAUCUACACCCUUAUAAGCCAUGCUUCGUUCUCCUCUCCAACCGAUGUGGGACCUUACAAUCCACCCCCUAAGGAAGCCCAGUGCCCUCUCUGGCACAUUGAUCCGAGCAACCAGACUCUGAUACCAUCUGUAACAACCCAGACCAUCUGCUAGCACGAUAUUGUCUGCUUUGGCACACAAGGCCUCAUAGUUUUGUCUUUGACGAUAAGGAUGAUAGCUGAAGCCCCCCAUACUCACUCGUCAAAAUCCGUCAUGCUAGGGAGUGGUAUCCAUACCCUUAUAAGGCAUGUUUUGUUCCCCUCCCCAACUGAUGUGGGACCUUACACCACCUGGACAGAAAGACCCUAUGAAGCUUUACUAUUCUCUGGGAUUGGCUUUAGGCUUUUCCUGCGCAGCUUAGGUGGAGGGCAAAGAAGGCCUCCUUCCGGGGGGCCCGAGCUACCAGUGAGAUACCACUCUAGAAGAGCUAGAAUUCUAACCUUGUGCCAGGACCUACGGGCCAAGAGGCAGUCUCAGGUAGACAGAUUCUAUGGGACGUAGGCCUCCCAAAAGGUAUUGGACGCGUGCAAAGGUUUCCUCGAGAUAGACAGAGAUUGGCCCUUGAGUGCAAAGGCAGAAGGGAGUUUGACUACAAGACCUACCCGUCGAGCACGGACGAAAGUCAGCCUUAGUGAUUCGACAGUGCCGAGUGGAAGGGCCGUCGCUCAAUGGAUAAAAGUUACUCUAGGGAUAACAGGCUGAUCUUCUCUAAGAGCUCACAUCGACGGGAAGGUUUGGCACCUCGAUGUAGGCUCUUCGCCACCUGGAGCUGUAGUAUAUUCCAAGGGUUGGGCUGUUCGCCCAUUAAAGCAGUACGUGAGCUCGGUUCAGAACGUCGUGAGACAGUUCGGUCCAUAUCCAGUGUGGGCGUUAGAGCAUUAAGAGGUCCUUUCCCUAGUACGAGAGGAUUGGGAAGGACGCACCUCUGGUGUGCCAAUUAUCGUACCCAGAGUAAACGCUGGGUAGCCAAGUGCGCAGUGGAUAACUGCUGAAAGCAUCUAAGUAGUAAGCCCACCCCAAGAUGAGUGAUCUCCUAUUUCGACUUCCCUAGAGCCUCCGGUAGCACAACCGAGAUAGCGAUGGGUUCUCUGUCCCUGUGAGGAUGGAGCAAAAGAAGCUUUGAGAAUUCAAGAGAAGGUCACGGCGAGACGAGCCGUUUCUCAUUAACGAUAGGUGUCAAGUGGAAGUGCAAUGAUGUAUGCAGCUGAGGCAUCCUAACAGACCGGUAGACUUGAAC